Molecule: ribosomal RNA, 1137 nt
Filed under: Staphylococcus aureus
Lineage: Bacteria; Bacillati; Bacillota; Bacilli; Caryophanales; Staphylococcaceae
Description: bacterial SSU rRNA
Rfam family: Bacterial small subunit ribosomal RNA
Source: RNAcentral
AAGACUGGGAUAACUUCGGGAAACCGGAGCUAAUACCGGAUAAUAUUUUGAACCGCAUGGUUCAAAAGUGAAAGACGGUCUUGCUGUCACUUAUAGAUGGAUCCGCGCUGCAUUAGCUAGUUGGUAAGGUAACGGCUUACCAAGGCAACGAUGCAUAGCCGACCUGAGAGGGUGAUCGGCCACACUGGAACUGAGACACGGUCCAGACUCCUACGGGAGGCAGCAGUAGGGAAUCUUCCGCAAUGGGCGAAAGCCUGACGGAGCAACGCCGCGUGAGUGAUGAAGGUCUUCGGAUCGUAAAACUCUGUUAUUAGGGAAGAACAUAUGUGUAAGUAACUGUGCACAUCUUGACGGUACCUAAUCAGAAAGCCACGGCUAACUACGUGCCAGCAGCCGCGGUAAUACGUAGGUGGCAAGCGUUAUCCGGAAUUAUUGGGCGUAAAGCGCGCGUAGGCGGUUUUUUAAGUCUGAUGUGAAAGCCCACGGCUCAACCGUGGAGGGUCAUUGGAAACUGGAAAACUUGAGUGCAGAAGAGGAAAGUGGAAUUCCAUGUGUAGCGGUGAAAUGCGCAGAGAUAUGGAGGAACACCAGUGGCGAAGGCGACUUUCUGGUCUGUAACUGACGCUGAUGUGCGAAAGCGUGGGGAUCAAACAGGAUUAGAUACCCUGGUAGUCCACGCCGUAAACGAUGAGUGCUAAGUGUUAGGGGGUUUCCGCCCCUUAGUGCUGCAGCUAACGCAUUAAGCACUCCGCCUGGGGAGUACGACCGCAAGGUUGAAACUCAAAGGAAUUGACGGGGACCCGCACAAGCGGUGGAGCAUGUGGUUUAAUUCGAAGCAACGCGAAGAACCUUACCAAAUCUUGACAUCCUUUGACAACUCUAGAGAUAGAGCCUUCCCCUUCGGGGGACAAAGUGACAGGUGGUGCAUGGUUGUCGUCAGCUCGUGUCGUGAGAUGUUGGGUUAAGUCCCGCAACGAGCGCAGCCCUUAAGCUUAGUUGCCAUCAUUAAGUUGGGCACUCUAAGUUGACUGCCGGUGACAAACCGGAGGAAGGUGGGGAUGACGUCAAAUCAUCAUGCCCCUUAUGAUUUGGGCUACACACGUGCUACAAUGGACAAUACAAAGGGCAGCGAAACCG